GCGGAUGUGGUGGAACGGCAGACACGCUAGCUUGAGGGGCUAGUGCCUUCACGGGCGUGCGGGUUCAAAUCCCGCCAUCCGCAC
Molecule: transfer RNA, 84 nt
Filed under: Rosistilla ulvae
Lineage: Bacteria; Pseudomonadati; Planctomycetota; Planctomycetia; Pirellulales; Pirellulaceae
Also listed under: 2 other names
Description: Planctomycetes bacterium EC9 tRNA-Leu
Rfam family: tRNA
About the family: Transfer RNA (tRNA) molecules are approximately 80 nucleotides in length. Their secondary structure includes four short double-helical elements and three loops (D, anti-codon, and T loops). Further hydrogen bonds mediate the characteristic L-shaped molecular structure. tRNAs have two regions of fundamental functional importance: the anti-codon, which is responsible for specific mRNA codon recognition, and the 3' end, to which the tRNAs corresponding amino acid is attached (by aminoacyl-tRNA synthetases). tRNAs cope with the degeneracy of the genetic code in two manners: having more than one tRNA (with a specific anti-codon) for a particular amino acid; and 'wobble' base-pairing, i.e. permitting non-standard base-pairing at the 3rd anti-codon position.
Source: RNAcentral